This 568-nucleotide small RNA is filed under the name Pan troglodytes (chimpanzee). RNAcentral describes it as "retained intron". The record is from RNAcentral. Lineage: Eukaryota; Metazoa; Chordata; Mammalia; Primates; Hominidae.
AACGCGUCCGCCGAGGCUCAGCGCGCCGCCGCCCGGUUCCACCAGCUGGACGUCAAGUUCCGCGAGCUGGCGCAGCUCGUCACCCAGCAGAGCAGUCUCAUCGCCCGCCUGGAGCGCCUGUGCCCGGGAGGCGCGGGCGGGCAGCAGCAGGUCCUGCCGCCACCCCCACUGGUGCCUGUGGUUCCGGUCCGUCUUGUGGGUAGCACCAAUGACACCAGUAGGAUGCUGGACCCAGCCCCAGAGCCCCAGAGAGACCAGACCCAGAGACAGCAGGAGCCCCUGGCUUCUCCCAUGCCUGCAGGUCACCCUGCGGUCCCCACCAAGCCUGUGGGUAAGUCGACAUUAGGGCUGAGGAAUUGUGGGUAGAGGAAAAUUGAGGAGUCAGGAUUUUAGUGGCAGAUUUCUCUCAUUGUGAGAAGACCGGAAGAAAUGAUACUCUUAUUCUGAUUAAAAAUAAGACCAAACUUCUAAGGUGUGAAAAUAGGAGAAACAAGAAAUAGAAGAGGAGGGACUCUUAUUUUAGUGAGGCAAUGGUUGGGACUGCUACUUUGGUAAGAGUUUGAACUGG